This 497-nucleotide ribosomal RNA is filed under the name uncultured bacterium. Its description in RNAcentral is "partial 16S ribosomal RNA". It matches the Rfam family "Bacterial small subunit ribosomal RNA", at positions 28 to 508 of the family's 1533-position model. The record is from RNAcentral.
GAUGAACGCUGGCGGCGUGCCUAAUACAUGCAAGUCGAGCGAACAGACGAGGAGCUUGCUCCUCUGACGUUAGCGGCGGACGGGUGAGUAACACGUGGAUAACCUACCUAUAAGACUGGGAUAACUUCGGGAAACCGGAGCUAAUACCGGAUAAUAUAUUGAACCGCAUGGUUCAAUAGUGAAAGACGGUUUUGCUGUCACUUAUAGAUGGAUCCGCGCCGCAUUAGCUAGUUGGUAAGGUAACGGCUUACCAAGGCAACGAUGCGUAGCCGACCUGAGAGGUGGAUGGGCCACACUGAAACGGAAACACGGUCCGGACUCCGAGGGGGGGAAGAGGGGGGGAAUCUUCCGAAAGGGGGGAAGCCCGAACGGGACACCGAGGGGUGGGUAAUGAUGGUCUUGGAACAAAAAAACUUUUUAAUAAGGGAAAAAAAAAGGUGUAAGUACUUAUGCGCGUCUGGAGGGUCCGAAAACAAAAAACCAGGGAAAACCAGGGC